UAAGACGGAAGGUGCAAGCGUUGCUCGGAAUCACUGGGCGUAAAGGGUGCGUAGGCGGCCUGGUAAGUCUGGCGUGAAAGCCCAGGGCUCAGCCCUGGAAGUGCGCUAGAAACUGCAAGGCUAGAGUGCCGGAGGGGAGAGUGGAAUUCCUGGUGUAGCGGUGAAAUGCGUAGAUAUCAGGAGGAAUACCGGUGGCGAAAGCGACUCUCUGGACGGCAACUGACGCUGAGGCACGAAAGCGUGGGGAGCAAACAGGAUUAGAUACCCUGGUAGUCCACGCCGUAAACGAUGGGCACUAGGUGUCGGGGGUAUCCACUCCCUCGGUGCCGCCGCUAACGCAUUAAGUGUCCCGCCUGGGAAGUACGGUCGCAAGGCUG
RNAcentral lists this ribosomal RNA (377 nucleotides) under uncultured bacterium. RNAcentral describes it as "bacterial SSU rRNA". It matches the Rfam family "Bacterial small subunit ribosomal RNA", at positions 521 to 896 of the family's 1533-position model. The record is from RNAcentral.